AUUAGAAUAGUUUAAUUAAAACAUUGAUUUGUGGUGUCAAAAAUAUGAAGAAAUUCAUUUUUAAUU
This 66-nucleotide transfer RNA is filed under the name Telchinia penelope. Its description in RNAcentral is "Acraea penelope tRNA-His". The record is from RNAcentral. Lineage: Eukaryota; Metazoa; Arthropoda; Insecta; Lepidoptera; Nymphalidae.